Molecule: long non-coding RNA, 604 nt
Organism: Oncorhynchus keta (chum salmon)
Lineage: Eukaryota; Metazoa; Chordata; Actinopteri; Salmoniformes; Salmonidae
Exons: 3
Source: RefSeq, a predicted model, not a curated record
GAGGUCAGGGGGUCUCUGGUCUCUGUGAUGGAGAGGUCAGGGGGUCUCUGGUCUCUGUGAUGGAGAGGUUAGGGGUCUCUGGUCUCUGUGAUGAAGAGGUCAGGAGGUCUCUGUGAUGGAGAGGUCAGGGGGUCUCUGGUCUCUGUGAUGGAGAGGUCAGGGGGUCUCUGGUCUCUGUGAUGGAGAGGGCAGGGGGUCUCUGGUCUCUGUGAUGGAGAGGUCAGGAGGUCUCUGGUCUCUGUGAUGGAGAGGUCAGGGGGUCUCUGGUCUCUGUGAUGGAGAGGUCAGGAGGUCUCUGGUCUCUGUGAUGGAGAGGUCAGGAGGUCUCUGGUCUCUGUGAUGGAGAGGUCAGGGGGUCUCUGGUCUCUGUGACGGAGAGGUCAGGGGGUCUCUGGUCUCUGUGAUGGAGAGGUCAGGGGGUCUCUGGUCUCUGUGAUGGAGAGGGCAGGGGGUCUCUGGUCUCUGUGAUGGAGAGGUCAGGAGGUCUCUGGUCUCUGUGAUGGAGAGGUCAGGGGGUCUCUGGUCUCUGUGAUGGAGAGGUCAGGAGGUCUCUGGUCUCUGUGAUGGAGAGGUCAGGAGGUCUCUGGUCUCUGUGAUGGAGAGG